Molecule: ribosomal RNA, 530 nt
Filed under: uncultured bacterium
Lineage: Bacteria
Description: bacterial SSU rRNA
Rfam family: Bacterial small subunit ribosomal RNA
Source: RNAcentral
AAUAGAUACCCAGGUAGUCCAUGCCGUAAACGUUGGGAACUAGAUGUAGGGCCUGUUCCACGGGUUCUGUGUCGUAGCUAACGCAUUAAGUUCCCCGCCUGGGGAGUACGGCCGCAAGGCUAAAACUCAAAGGAAUUGACGGGGGCCCGCACAAGCGGCGGAGCAUGCGGAUUAAUUCGAUGCAACGCGAAGAACCUUACCAAGGCUUGACAUAUAGAAGAACACUGCAGAGAUGCAGGACUCUUUGGACACUUCUAUACAGGUGGUGCAUGGUUGUCGUCAGCUCGUGUCGUGAGAUGUUCGGUUAAGUCCGGCAACGAGCGCAACCCUCGUCCUAUGUUGCCAGCACGUAAUGGUGGGAACUCAUGGGAUACUGCCGUGGUCAACACGGAGGAAGGUGGGGAUGACGUCAAAUCAUCAUGCCCCUUAUGUCUUGGGCUUCACGCAUGCUACAAUGGCCGGUACAAAGGGCUGCGAUACCGCAAGGUGGAGCGAAUCCCAAAAAGCCGGUCUCAGUUCGGAUUGGGGUC